AACGAACGCUGGCGGCAUGCCUAACACAUGCAAGUCGAACGAGACCUUCGGGUCUAGUGGCGCACGGGUGCGUAACGCGUGGGAACCUGCCCUUAGGUUCGGAAUAACUCCCCGAAAGGGGUGCUAAUACCGGAUAAUGUCUUCGGACCAAAGAUUUAUCGCCUUUGGAUGGGCCCGCGUUGGAUUAGCUAGUUGGUAGGGUAAAAGCCUACCAAGGCGACGAUCCAUAGCUGGUCUGAGAGGAUGAUCAGCCACACUGGGACUGAGACACGGCCCAGACUCCUACGGGAGGCGGCAGUGGGGAAUAUUGGACAAUGGGCGAAAGCCUGAUCCAGCAAUGCCGCGUGAGUGAUGAAGGCCUUAGGGUUGUAAAGCUCUUUUACCCGGGAUGAUAAUGACAGUACCGAGAGAAUAAGCGCCGGCUAACUCCGUG
Molecule: ribosomal RNA, 433 nt
Filed under: uncultured bacterium
Lineage: Bacteria
Description: partial 16S ribosomal RNA
Rfam family: Bacterial small subunit ribosomal RNA
Source: RNAcentral